RNAcentral lists this ribosomal RNA (389 nucleotides) under uncultured microorganism. RNAcentral's name for it is "bacterial SSU rRNA". It matches the Rfam family "Archaeal small subunit ribosomal RNA", at positions 330 to 720 of the family's 1478-position model. The record is from RNAcentral.
GUGCACCAGUCGAGAAAACUUCACACUGUGCGAAAGCACGAUGAGGGAAUCCCAAGUGCUUGCACGUAAGUGUAAGCUGUUUCUCUGUCUAAAACGCAGAGAGAGUAAGGGCUGGGUAAGACGGGUGCCAGCCGCCGCGGUAAUACCUGCAGCUCAAGUGGUGACCGUUAUUAUUGGGCCUAAAACGUCCGUAGCCGGUUUAAUAAAUGCCUGGGUAAAUUGUGUAGCUUAACUAUACGAAUUCCGGGUAGACUGUUAAACUUGAGACCGGGAGAAGUUAAAGGUACUCCUGGGGUAGAGGUGAAAUUCUGUAAUCCUAGGGGGACCACCAGUGGCGAAGGCGUCUAACUAGAACGGGUCUGACGGUGAGGGACGAAGCCCUGGGGCGC